AUUGAACGCUGGCGGCAGGCCUAACACAUGCAAGUCGAACGGUAGCACAGAGGAGCUUGCUCCUUGGGUGACGAGUGGCGGACGGGUGAGUAAUGUCUGGGAAACUGCCCGAUGGAGGGGGAUAACUACUGGAAACGGUAGCUAAUACCGCAUAACGUCGCAAGACCAAAGAGGGGGACCUUCGGGCCUCUUGCCAUCGGAUGUGCCCAGAUGGGAUUAGCUAGUAGGUGGGGUAACGGCUCACCUAGGCGACGAUCCCUAGCUGGUCUGAGAGGAUGACCAGCCACACUGGAACUGAGACACGGUCCAGACUCCUACGGGAGGCAGCAGUGGGGAAUAUUGCACAAUGGGCGCAAGCCUGAUGCAGCCAUGCCGCGUGUAUGAAGAAGGCCUUCGGGUUGUAAAGUACUUUCAGCGAGGAGGAAGGCGUUGUGGUUAAUAACCGCAACGAUUGACGUUACUCGCAGAAGAAGCACCGGCUAACUCCGUGCCAGCAGCCGCGGUA
RNAcentral lists this ribosomal RNA (505 nucleotides) under uncultured Enterobacterales bacterium. Its description in RNAcentral is "bacterial SSU rRNA". It matches the Rfam family "Bacterial small subunit ribosomal RNA", at positions 30 to 522 of the family's 1533-position model. Lineage: Bacteria; Pseudomonadati; Pseudomonadota; Gammaproteobacteria; Enterobacterales. The record is from RNAcentral.